GGCCAGAUAGCUCAGUAGGUAGAGCAAGGGACUGAAAAUCCCUGUGUCGGCGGUUCGAAUCCGCCUCUGGCCA
Nitratiruptor tergarcus DSM 16512 is the source of this 73-nucleotide non-coding RNA. Lineage: Bacteria; Pseudomonadati; Campylobacterota; Epsilonproteobacteria; Nautiliales; Nitratiruptoraceae. The record is from Rfam.